RNAcentral lists this ribosomal RNA (422 nucleotides) under uncultured bacterium. RNAcentral describes it as "bacterial SSU rRNA". It matches the Rfam family "Bacterial small subunit ribosomal RNA", at positions 358 to 773 of the family's 1533-position model. The record is from RNAcentral.
GGAAUUUUGCGCAAUGGGCGAAAGCCUGACGCAGCAACGCCGCGUGUGUGAUGAAGGUCUUCGGAUUGUAAAGCACUUUCGACCGGGACGAAAACCCGUUAGCUAACAUCCAACGGCCUGACGGUACCGGGAGAGGAAGACCCGCCUAAAUCUGUGCCAGCAGCCGCGGUCAUACAGAGGGUGCAAGCGUUGUUCGGAAUUAUUGGGCGUAAAGCGCGUGUAGGCGGCUUUGCAAGUCGGGUGUGAAAGCCCUCAGCUCAACUGAGGAAGUGCGCCCGAAACUGCAGAGCUUGAGUGCCGGAGAGGGUGGCGGAAUUCCCCAAGUAGAGGUGAAAUUCGUAGAUAUGGGGAGGAACACCGGUGGCGAAGGCGGCCACCUGGACGGUAACUGACGCUGAGACGCGAAAGCGUGGGGAGCAAAC